AUUGAACGCUGGCGGCAUGCCUUACACUUGCAAGUCGAACGGCAGCACGGGAGCUGUCCUGGUGGUUAGUGUCUAACGGGUGAGUAUUACUUCGGAACGUGCCCUAUCGUGGGGGAUAACGCAGCGAAUGCUGUGCUAAUACCUCUUACCAUCUACGGAUGAAUGUUGGGGAUCGCAAUUCCUUGCGUGGUUGGAGCGGCCGAUGGCCGAUUUUUUUGUUGUUUAUUUUUUGGUUCACCUUGC
This 243-nucleotide ribosomal RNA is filed under the name uncultured Peptoniphilus sp. Its description in RNAcentral is "partial 16S ribosomal RNA". It matches the Rfam family "Bacterial small subunit ribosomal RNA", at positions 30 to 273 of the family's 1533-position model. The record is from RNAcentral. Lineage: Bacteria; Bacillati; Bacillota; Tissierellia; Tissierellales; Peptoniphilaceae.